UUGUCCAAAUUGAAGAUAACAAGAAGGAGUGGGCUAGUAAAGGAUGUUCACUUAUGUCUGAUGGUUGGAGAGAUUCAGUGGCUAAGAAAGACAUUGUCAACUUCCUAGUUAAUUCCCCUAAAGGUUCUGUUUUCAUCAAGUCAAAAGAUGUUUCCGAAGUGGUGAAAGAUUCAACGUUGUUGUUUAAGUUGCUAAAUGAUAUGGUUGAGGAAAUUGGAGAAGCUAAUGUAGUUCAAGUCAUCACAGACAAUGCAAAGAACUACAUAAAAGCUGGUAUCUAUGAUCUGAACCAAUAUUUAUUUCCAAUCUUUGUUUUAACAUUUGAUAUAUAUUUUUUGUAACACUAAUAUAAAAUACUUAAAUUCAGGAAAAUUGCUUCAAACAAAAAGACCUCAUCUCUACUGGACUCCAUGUGCUGCACAUUGCAUUGAUCUAAUGUUGGAAGACAUUGGAGAAAUCCCAGCAUUGAAGAAUGCAAUGAAAAAAUGCAUGUUCAUGAAUGGAUAUAUCUACAGCCAUGUCCUUCUUGUGAACAUGAUGAGGAAAUUCACAAAGCAAAGAAAUCUGCACAGGCUGGCUAUAACAAGGUUUGCUACUUCUUGCAUAACCAUGACUCAGUUUCUCAAACAGCAGAAGCCUUUAAGGGAUAUGAUAAAUUCUGCUGAAUGGAGUGAGUCUAAAUGGCCCAAAGAAGCUGGAGCAAGAAAAGGUAGACAGUAUCUUAUGCAAGCGAGUUUUUGGAAGAAUAUUCGACGUGCUCUGAAGAUUAUGACUCCUCUUGUCAAAGUACUUAGGAUGGUUGAUGGAGAGAAAAAAACCAGAUAUGGGAUACAUUUAUGCAGCCAUGGACAGGGCAAAAGAGACAAUCGAAAGGGAUUUCAACUGGAAUAAAGAGAAGUACGAAGAAGCCUUUGAGAUCAUUGACAAAAGGUGGCAGUGUCAGCUUCACCAUCCUUUGCAUGAUGCUGGGUAUUUCCUAAACCCUUCAAUCCAUUACAAAUAUCACGAUGAUGUACGUUGCGCCGAAGUGGAAGGGAGCUUGUAUAAUUGCAUUACUAGGUUGGUUUUUUAAAUUGUGUUUUUGUUUUGUAUUAAUAGGUUGGUACACCAUUUUCAGAUGAUAGUUUUGUUUGUGUUUCAUUAAUAAGUUGGUUCCAAAUACAGAGACUCAAGACAAGAUAAUGACAAAGUUGGAUUCUUUCAAGGACGCUUCUGGUAUUUUCGGCCACGACAUGGCCAUUAGGAAAAGAAAUAUCAAAGCACCAGCUGAAUGGUGGUCUUGUUAUGGAUCUUCUGCUCCAAAUUUGAGAAGCUUUGCUGUUAAGAUCCUUAGUCUGACUUGUAGUGCUACUGGUUGUGAAAUAAAUUGGAGUGUUUUCCAACUUGUAAGUCUUUUUAAUCACCUUUAUUGUAUAUUUGUAGGUGAUUUUUUUAACUUAUAAAUUUUAAACUUGAUUUGUAACAGCUUCAUACAAAGAAGAGAAAUCGCCUAGC
Brassica napus (rape) is the source of this 1494-nucleotide long non-coding RNA. RefSeq lists it as uncharacterized. NCBI's taxonomy places the organism in Eukaryota, Viridiplantae, Streptophyta, Magnoliopsida, Brassicales, Brassicaceae. The transcript is spliced from 3 exons. The record is from RefSeq and is a predicted model, not a curated record.